Non-coding RNA from Coffea arabica (coffee), 2396 nucleotides. The record is from RefSeq and is a predicted model, not a curated record. NCBI's taxonomy places the organism in Eukaryota, Viridiplantae, Streptophyta, Magnoliopsida, Gentianales, Rubiaceae.
GUGCAGAGGCAAAAACAAAAACGCAGCCCCAUUUUUUUCAGUUUGUUUUUCGGCCAUUUUGCUCCAUCGGAUUGGCAUAAUACAAGGCCAUCUGGCCUUCAUCCGGCAACUCAAGGUUGAGAAACAAAAAGCCAUCCAAUGGCUUGGAAUUCAGCAAAAAGAAAAACGCAGCAGGUGAACCAUAGAUGCUAGGUUUUGUGAGAGGUUUCGGGUGCCUAUAAAGAGCCAUGAAGUGAGAGAGUUUAAGGGGGAUUUUGAUGAAAAUUGGAAAAACAGAAAUCAGAAGGGAGAGUGACGGCGGGAGAGAAUCUGCGGGAAAAAGAGAGCUGGAGAAAACCAUAGGAGAGGGAGAGCUUCGGGUGAGGUAAAAACGACAGAGAGAAGGUGGAGGCUGCAAGAAAGAGAGAGAGAGAGGCUCGUUGGUGGCUGUGGGUAGUGAAAAAAGAGAAGGCUACUGGGGUUUCUGGAAAAGAAAUGGGCGGCGGAGUUUGAGAGAAACCAAGAGAGCCGAGGGUUUGGGAUAGAAAGGGAGAGUUUUUGCAGAGAGCAGAAGGAAAACUUCAACAAGGAAGCAGUGAAAGAUCUGGACAAGGCCUGAGUAGGAGAAAGGAGAUCGCAAAGAAGGUUGCACAAAGGGGACUGGAUCAUCAUCACCAUCCUUCACUGGUGGUCCUUCGAAGAACUGGCAGAACCAGCCGAGCCUUUUCUUGUCAUCCCACGACUCAUUUUACGAUUCAGGGAACCUUGGAAAACCUGGUAGAAGGCUUCGACAGAGAGAGGGGAGAGAAAGAGAGUGGCGGCCGAAACAAAUGCAGCAGAAGAACCCUUACACGAUCUUCACCAGAAAUUCGCAACUUUGGAAUCUGCAUCCGGACGCAAUCUUGUCAACCAACUCCCUGUUCAGAAGACUCCGCAAGACGUCAAAGGUAAUCUCUUUUGCCUUCUACUUCUCAUACAAGCCUAGAUCUCCUCUAAAUAUGCCAAAAAUCUUGUUGUGUUCUGUUUAUGAACAUGCUUUGCUGUUUUGCUUCCUAUGGCAGCCGAAUGGGUUGAGUUUCGUUCUUUUUUGAAAAUCUGUUGUUAAAUCUUGUCCUGAGGAAAUGAAACCUGAUAGUCAAUGUUGGGUUGGAAAAGUUUUGCUCCAAAAGUUACGCAUUUGUAUCUGAUGUGUUGCGGGUUGAAUGGAAACCCAGAAAGUUGCAGCAGAACGAAGAAGUAGAAAGCUUUUUUUUUUUUUCGUAUCAGAUUGUGUGAUCCUGGUGUUCAAAUAUAAAGGUUUUAUGUUGAAUAUAGGAGGAAUGUUUGAUAUUCCUGUUGCUUGGAUUCAGUUUGCAUUGCGCUUAAAUUUGCGCAUACAAAUCUGCUGCAACAAGCCACUCUUGAAGUUCUCGGCCUGUUGCAGCAGCAUGGACAGAUCCUGUUUCUUUCCUUUGUUUGUUAAGGUCUUGGAUUGUUUGAAGUUUGGGAGUUCUGUAGUGUUCGGUUUGGUAUUCGGUGUGCAUAUUUGCCAUGAGUUUUUCUCCUUGCGUCUUUGUUGCAUAUUUCCAUUCAGUCACAUGUUGGAGCAUGGAGUUGCUAAUGCUUGUAGUUUCGUUGCUGAUGCUUGUAGUCUACUGCAUCUCUUGCUGUUGUAUGUGUUUUGUUCAUCCCUAUUGCCUUUCUCUUGCAUGUUUAUCAAGUUUUUUUUUGGAUGAUAAGCUUAUAUAGAACUUGGGAUGGUUUCUGGUUUGAGGUCAUUGUAUUAAAAUUUGCCGUAUGAAAUUGCUGAAAUCUCAAAGUAGCAGAAAGAAAACCCAUGAACUGUCCAGAUUUGCAUGCCUUUUUGUCUGACUUUUGCUGUUUAAAUCUAAAGUUUUAUGUUGCAAAGUGAGAGGAUUAGGUGGUUGUCUUGUUGCUUUAGUUCAUAUUGAAUUUGAGUGUGUUUAAGAGCUGCGGAGAGCUUGUGGAUACAAUUGCAGAAGGAGAGUCUUAUAGCUUGAGUUGCAGAAAUAAGAACAAAGAAAGCGUCGUAGCAUGCAUGAAAAAAACUUUCCAAAAUUGCAGUUUGAUCUCUCGAUUUUCUCUUCAUUUUACUAUGGCCCAGCUAAUUAGAUAAUUUCGAUCAUUUUUAUCCCUUUGACAUGCCAUUUUUCUAUAACAUAUCUUAGCAUGAUUUCUUAAAUAGAUUUUAAUGAGUCUUAGAAUAACGUUGAAGGUUUUUAAGAACGUUUUUCUAGAUUUUAGUUUUGAUUUGGAUUCUUAGUGAAAUUUUGCGUAUUUUGUGCUUUGAAUGCAACAAAUUGAUUUUCAUUUAUUGUUUUUGUGAGUUUUGUCAUUCGAUUGGGGGGUUUCACUUUAAGUCCUCGCUUGUUUAAAUUUCUUAAAUAUAGGCUGUUUACAUGAUUCGAUUGAUUCAA